UUCACCAAGUGUUGGAUUGUUC
Molecule: small nuclear RNA, 22 nt
Filed under: Arabidopsis thaliana (thale cress)
Lineage: Eukaryota; Viridiplantae; Streptophyta; Magnoliopsida; Brassicales; Brassicaceae
Description: snRNA_09170
Source: RNAcentral